This 320-nucleotide ribosomal RNA is filed under the name Pneumocystis carinii. Its description in RNAcentral is "LSU rRNA". It matches the Rfam family "Bacterial large subunit ribosomal RNA", at positions 802 to 1100 of the family's 2925-position model. Lineage: Eukaryota; Fungi; Ascomycota; Pneumocystomycetes; Pneumocystales; Pneumocystaceae. The record is from RNAcentral.
GGAAGAAUUGUGGUAAGGAGUGAAAUACAAAUCGGACUAGGAUAUAGCUGGUUUUCUGCGAAAAUUGUUUUAGCAAAUUGUUUAUUAUAUUAUUAUUAGUAGGUAUAGCACUGAAUAUCUAAAUUUUGAUUUAGAAGGGAGUUUAUUAAACUUAUCUUGGAUAUUUAAUCUCAGAAUGACUAAUAUGAGUAAGGUAAAUAAUCGGACUUUUUGCGAUAAGGUAUAAAGUCAAAAGGGAAACAGCCCAGAACAGUAUUUAAAGCUCUAAAAUUAUUAUUAAGUGAAAUAAAAGAAGUAAUUCUUUAAUUACAAUCAAAAAG